CCCCCGGCCACCAAAGCAGAGCGUGCAAACUUAACCACUACACCACUGGUCCAGCCCUUAAUGCUUAAUUUGUAUUUAAUUACUGCUCCUUAACUGAGAUGCUAGCAUGUCAACAGUUGAAAUAGUUAUUUAGUGUGGUGGACGUAUUUCAAGGGAGAGUCUUCUGGAACAUUUUGCAAAGGAUUGCUAUUUAUAAAAUCUCACAUAAGUCUUGGGAGAAUCUGCACUGAAAUCUUGGAAGGUAAACACCGAAUGAUUCCUUCUGACAGGACUGGUUAAAAAUGCCUCCUCCAGGCCGUGAUUUCUCAGAACAGCCCCAUUAAUCAGGCAAGGCAGGUGGCCAUGGGGCCUGCGUGUCUCGAGCAAUGCCCUUCAUGGGAUCAGUAACAAGCAGAAAGGCUUCUGAAGAGAAAAUAUGGUUCCUGCUAAAGAGAGGAACACAGGGAAGAAUUGCUGCCUAACUCCUUUGAUGAAAAUGGCAUUUUCUCUAGUCAAACUUUUCUCAAUUUCGGUUUCACUCCGUUGUCCUUGAAUAUGCUUCCAAGAGGGGGGCAAAAAAAGAAAGAACCCAGCCAGCAUAUAUUUCAAAACAAUGCCGUUUUCCUCUCUCAGUAAAAGUUGAAUCCCAAGUGCACACUUUUAUUGCAGAAAGCAUUUGCUGGUGCUUUUUCAGAGUACUCAGUGUGACAUGCUAAGUCAUUGGCUCUGAGAAUAUUGGCGAGAACUUUGUCUUGAGAUGAUUAGUAAGCAAGUUAAAGAUAAAUCCACAACGACAUCUUUCACAUAGCUAAUGAAGUCUUUUGGGACAGCCAAUACUAAUUCCCCUCAGAGGGAUGAUUCAGACUUGCGUUAUUUUUUUUAAUGCUUUGUUCUCGCUCUUUCUAUACUACACAUUCUAUGCUGGUGGUCACAAAGCACUUUUGUGUAUAUUAACUCAUAUGCCCCUCAGAAGGAUCCUGUAGGUGGGUGUGGCAGUUACUAUAGAGAUGAGGAAACUGAGGCUCAGAGAGGUUACCCAACUUGGCGUAGGCAGCACAGCCAGGAUGCGUUUGCUGGAGACUAGAACCAUCUGACUUCCGGUCCAGGGCUGUUGCUUUGUGUAGGCAAGAUUCACCUCUUUGAGAUUUUUUAUUUCCAUUCUUCUUAAAACCCUCUAGCUUAUUUUAAAUGAGCAUACUAAACCACUAUAAAUAAACAUCCUUUGCUAUUCAUUUUUGAUAGCAAUAGAAGGAGUUUUAAAAGCAAACAAAGGCCAAAGAAAGAUUAUUUGAGCACAAAUAACAUAAUAGGAGAUUUUGCUUAAGUAUUUGACUCUGUUCAAAGGACAAAAUACUCUGUAUACCCUUACAGAACCAAGAUUUUUUUUUUCCCCUUCAGGACAUGUGAAAACUCUGAAUCAGAUCUUUCUAUUCCAGGCUUCUAUAGCAUCCUGUAAUUUCCUGUAAUUGCCAUUCAUUGCAGUUUUCAAUUAUAUAUUUAUUUGUAUAAUUAUGUAAAUAUCUGUUUAGGGGGUGUAAGUGUCUUUAGGAUGGAGAUUGUAUCCCUUUUAUUCAGAUUUUAUUCCCAGCUUAUCACAAGGCACCUGGGGGAACUCAGUAAGUUUCUGUUAGCAGGAUGGAUGGAGGGAUAGACAGAUAGAAGGAAAAAUCACUAUGUGAGUCUUUGAUUUGCAAGUUCUAGCACAGGAUCCUGGAACCCUGGAGGGAACUCUAGAGACUCUCUUGCCCACUUUUGUUAAAGGUGAACAAAUGGCUUUUUAAUCAAGAAAAACAUUGUCUCUUACCUAAUUCCAGAAAGAAGAAAAAUAGAAGAAUAAUGUUCGAUGUAAGCUGUGUGAUGGAAAUAGAACCAACAUUAUUCCAAGAAAAUAGGCAGAUAAUGUAUUUCAAGGUAUCUGCAUUUAAUAGAUUACAGAAUUCUUGUCAUGCAUUUGUUUCUCUUUAUUUCUAUCACUGAAUAAGAAGAGAGAAAGAGAGAGUGAUGGGGAGGGCAUUUUUAUUUUCUGACAGUAUGAAGCUUGUAAAUUAUACUGGUUUUUCCCCAAGUUUAUAUUUCAGAAAACAUUUUUUUCCUUUGUCCUCUCUUUUGCUUUUUUCUCCUUUUCCUUCCCUCCUCUUCUUCCCCCUUUCCUCCUUCAACUAUUUAAUUAUUUCCAUGACAGCAUUCCAGACUUUCUCUGAUUUUAGUGGGAAGAGCAUAUAUGCUCUGAAUCUGAGAUCACAUAAUCCAUUGCCAUGAAAUUUGACAAGACUUUUGAACACUGCUGAUUGUCCUAAAUUGCUCUCAUUUAUUAUUAUCAUUUUUUAGUCAGAUGGGACAUGAUGACUCUUUAAUUUAAUUCUUCAUAGCUUACUAUUUCUUAAGCAUUCCAAAAAUGUGUGUUAUCAUCUUAUCUCCUGAUAUACCCUAGACUAAACUGGAGUGAAGGUGAAAAUUUCCAUAAUUGUCUAAUUCUUAUUGACCCUCAAGAAACUUUCCUGUUAGAUGCCAAAAUUCAGCUUUUGGAGUAACUUUAUGGGAUCCAUGGUUCAACUUAAGAACCUUGGCCGCUCCUUCUGAAAGAGGUGCCAGCUGAUAAUCACCAGAAAAGAACUAUGUAUGAUGCAUAAACCCAAGCUCUGAAAGAAAAAUAACUGGAUAAGUAAAAGGGAAUUGCUAAGAGGAAGAAAAAUCUAAACCAUCUAAUUUUGAACAUUUACAAAUAUGCUGUAUUUGUUGAAAAUGAACCUAAGAAGUGGUCUUUUAUGCUUAAGCAAAGCUGACGUUCACAGAUUUGGAGAAAAUAUUUCUUUUGGAAUGUCCUGGUAAAAUUAUCUUGGGUUUGGUUGUGCACCCGAAAUCGAUCAUUCAAAAAUAAUCUGAAUAGUUUUUAUUUGAGAAUUUAUGGCUUUUACUUAAAAACAUUUUCAAGUUCCUAUUAAGUUUUCAAUAGGUUGGCUUAGAGGACACUGUAAGAAGGUACUGAUGUGAUCUGAAGAUGGGAUUGCUGAAGUAUUGCACAUAUUUUCAAUCCUUGCAUAAUAAAUUACCAAUAAUUAUCUAUAUUUUCAUGUCUAUAUCUUCAUUUAACAAUGAUUUUCUUAAUAAAAAUGUUUUCAUCCCCUUACCUAAAACUACAUGUUAGACUGAGGCUGGGUCAUUUGAAAACAUUAUAAAAUUUGUGAAUAAAAUAAUACAUGGGACCUGCUUGAUUUCAAACCUGUCAUUAUGUGGCCUUGUGGCCUUGGUUACCAUUCUAGAAUGUUCUUUGUCUUUUGGGGGCAAAGCUUAAGAGAAACAUUUAAGGAAACACCCACUUGGAAGGAAGAACCAAGAGUUGACUCCAUUCCAAGUGAUCCACUACCAAGUAAUCUGGUCACCAUGUUAGCUCCAUCCGAAUGGUGUGUGAGAUGCUGAGGGUGACUGGACACAGAGUGGAGUCCUGCCCAGGAGCACGUGAUAGACGGGACCAGGCAGGCAGCAUUGCAAACCAGCCUCUGCUCCUCUAGCAGAGCGUGUGGCUUGGCAUGGGGGAGUGGUGUCAGUCCAGAGGAAGAGGCACCUCUUAGCAAUCCAUCAGCCAAGAGAGAUGCCUUUGUGUAAUUAUCUUCCCAGAAGACCCAUGAAAUAUCAAACGCUGGACACUUUUCAAAACAAAACAUUUUACAAAACAAAAGACGGCUCAUGAGGACCACCAGUGACCUCGGAGGGGUCAUCAGUAGCUCUUAAGAUCACAUUUUGGAGAAAAGUCGUCAGAUCUAAAGUUACCUAACUUUUAGACUCAGAAUUGAAACAAUUGUGAGCUUUGGGUCAUCAUAUUCUAAGUGAUAUUGUAUGAAAAGUCGUAUAUUAAAGAAUCAAAAUCAUUGUUUCCUUAUGGCCAUUUCUUCUCUGUUACUCUUGAAGGAACGGUGUGAGGCAUCCCACACAUUAGGCAGCCUCAGAAAAAUGGAAGAAAAAUUAGUUCUGGUUUACCCCAGGGAUGCUAGAAAGCCCUGGAACAUGAAGGUCAAACCUGGCACAUUCUCAUUCCCUGAGAUGGACCUCCAAGAUAUCUUUCUUCUUCUAUCUCCACCCUACCAUUGACACAAGCCUUCCCCAUGCCUGGAGUGUCAUGGCAGGCGUGGGCUGACGUCAAAGAAGAGCAGCUCCCAAAGAAAGGAGGAAAGAGCCGUGUGUCACCCACAAUUUGCUUCAGUCAGACAGCUCUGUGCCCUCAGAUCACUUCUACAAAAUGCCUCCUGAGAGCCCUACAUCCCUCAAAGGCCAUAGGAACAGAAAGUUCUCUGGGUUACUCUUCUGUUUCCAGGCAAGGAAAGAAUACUUUCUUAUCUGAACACAGAAUCUCCAGCCCCACCACUCUUCAAGGUCAGAGCUCCUAUUGUUCUGAAACUCAAAUUUUAUCAUGCCUGACUUUUGCUUCAAAUCUUUUCAUGACCUCCUCGUUGUCUAGAGGAGAAACUAAUUAAUGUCCUCUUCCCUUAGUUUUAUAUGCUAGUAUGAUAAACAAGCUUCUUCGCAAGCUGGCUCUCACCUACUAUUCCAGGCUCAAGUUUAAAUUCUUAUUCAGUGUUGCCCCUGGCAAAGAACUUAACAUCUUGGGCCUCAGUUUCCUUAUCAGUAAAAUGAGAAUAAUAGAUGCCUAACUCACAGAGCUGCAAUGAGAGUUAAACGAGUAAAUAUCUGUGAAGCACUUAGCCCAGGUCUGGCCUUGCAAGUGUUCAGUUAAUGCUGCUGUUUUGAGGGUUUCGUUUUCACCUCUCACUCCUCCACAGGGACCUGUUGGAUAACCCAAACAGUUCUUUGCAAUUCCCCAAAAGGGCCAGACUCUGGGCCUUGGCACGCCCUGCUCCUAUGUCACAUAAUACUCCCCUCUUUGCUGAUUCAGCUCCUUCUUCCAGGCCCUACAGACUUGUGAAGACAGCUCCAUCACUGUCUUGACAUGAAGCUAGGAUUUGCUUUUAAGGCUUCCUCACCCCUGACCUGAGAGCUUCCAGAGCAAUACUGUCCUACAGAUCUAUAUCGCCAGCCAUGUGGGUAAUUUAAAAUUUUCUAGCAGCCAAAUUAAAAAAUUUAAAAGAAACAGGGAAAUUAAUUUUCAUAAUACACUUUAGCCCCCAAACCUAAAAUAUUGUCAUUUCAACACAUAAUCAGUGUAUAAUGUGUUAAUGAGAUAUUUCACCUCCUUGUAUACAGUCUUUGAUAUUUGGUAUAUAUUUUACACUCUGCAAUACGUAAGUGCUCCAUAGCCAGAUCUGAGCAGUGCUACUGCAAGAGACUGCACAGUCCAAGAGUGAGAACCGUGGAUGGGUCCCCUCUGUAUCCACAGAGCCCAUCUCAGUGACUGAGAUAUAAAGGGACUCAUAAAUGCUUAUUUAAUGAAGAAAAUGGUGAACACAGACAACUCCUUCUGGGAUGUAUCAGUUUGCUAGGGCUGCUAUAACAAACCACUGCAAACUGGGUGAUUUAAACAACUGUGGCCUCACAGUUCUGGAAGCUAGGAGGCUGAGAUCAAGGCGUUCGCAGGGUUGGUUCCUUCUGAGGCUGUGAGUGAACAUCUAUUCAACGCCCUCUGGUGGUUUUCUGGCCAUCUUUGGUGUUCCUUGGCUUCUAUGCCAUCAUCUUGCUCUCUGUCUUCAUGUUCACAUGGCCUUCUCUCU
Long non-coding RNA from Equus caballus (horse), 5639 nucleotides. RefSeq lists it as uncharacterized. NCBI's taxonomy places the organism in Eukaryota, Metazoa, Chordata, Mammalia, Perissodactyla, Equidae. The record is from RefSeq and is a predicted model, not a curated record.